UCGCGAAUUUUUCACAAUGGACGCAAGUCUGAUGAAGCCACGCCGCGUGCGGGAUGAAGGCCCUCUGGGUUGUAAACCGCUGUCGAGGGAGGGGAACCGCUGCAUGUGAAUAGCAUGCAGUCUGACUGCUCUCUGAAGGAAGCCCCGGCAAAACAUGUGCCAGCAGCCGCGGUAAUACAUGUGGGGCAAGCGUUGUUCGGAAUUACUGGGCAUAAAGGGUGCGUAGGUGGUUUGUUAAGUCAGGGGUGAAAUCCCACGGCCCAACCGUGGAACUGCCUUUGAUACUGGCGAACUGGAGUGCGUGAGGGGUAGGGGGAACGAGCAGUGUAGCGGUGAAAUGCGUAGAUAUUGCUCGGAAGGCCAGAGCCGAAGGGGCCCUACUGGUACGUAACUGACGCUG
This 400-nucleotide ribosomal RNA is filed under the name uncultured bacterium. RNAcentral's name for it is "bacterial SSU rRNA". It matches the Rfam family "Bacterial small subunit ribosomal RNA", at positions 355 to 748 of the family's 1533-position model. The record is from RNAcentral.